GACGAACGCUGGCGGCGUGCUUAACACAUGCAAGUCGAACGAGUGGCGAACGGGUGAGUAACACGUGGGUGACCUGCCCUGCACUUCGGGAUAAGCCUGGGAAACUGGGUCUAAUACCGGAUAGUGUGGGAUGGGCCCGCGGCCUAUCAGCUUGUUGGUGGGGUAAUGGCUACCAAGGCGCGACGGGUAGCAGGCCUGAGAGGGUGGACGGCCACAUUGGGACUGAGACACGGCCAAGACGCAGACGGGAGGCAGCAGGGGGGAAGAUUGCACAAUGGGCGGAAGCCUGACCGAGCAACGCCGCGUGAGUGAAGAAGGUUUUAGGAUCGUAAAGCUCUGUUGGUAGAAAAGCGGUAUCUAACCAGAAAGCCACGGCUAACUACGUGCCAGCAGCCGCGGUAAUAC
This 405-nucleotide ribosomal RNA is filed under the name uncultured bacterium. RNAcentral describes it as "partial 16S ribosomal RNA". It matches the Rfam family "Bacterial small subunit ribosomal RNA", at positions 28 to 526 of the family's 1533-position model. The record is from RNAcentral.